Molecule: ribosomal RNA, 985 nt
Filed under: human gut metagenome
Description: bacterial LSU rRNA
Rfam family: Bacterial large subunit ribosomal RNA
Source: RNAcentral
ACGGUCCUAAGGUAGCGAAAUUCCUUGUCGGGUAAGUUCCGACCUGCACGAAUGGCAUAACGAUGGCCACACUGUCUCCUCCCGAGACUCAGUGAAGUUGAAAUGUUUGUGAUGAUGCAAUCUACCCGCGGCUAGACGGGAAGACCCCAUGAACCUUUACUGCAGCUUUGCAUUGAACUGUGAACCGAUUUGUGUAGGAUAGGUGGGAGGCAGAGAAGAGGCCACGCCAGUGGUCUUGGAGCCGACCUUGAAAUACCACCCUGAUUUGUUUGCGGUUCUAACCACGGACAGUGAUCCUGUCUUGGGACCGUGCAUGGUAGGCAGUUUGACUGGGGCGGUCUCCUCCUAAAGGGUAACGGAGGAGUACGAAGGUACGCUAGGUACGGUCGGAAAUCGUGCUGAUAGUGCAAUGGCAAAAGCGUGCUUGACUGCGAGAGCAACAACUCGAGCAGAUGCGAAAGCAGGUCAUAGUGAUCCGGUGGCUCUGAAUGGAAGGGCCAUCGCUCAACGGAUAAAAGGUACUCUGGGGAUAACAGGCUGAUACCGCCCAAGAGUUCAUAUCGACGGCGGUGUUUGGCACCUCGAUGUCGGCUCAUCUCAUCCUGGGGCUGUAGUCGGUCCCAAGGGUAUGGCUGUUCGCCAUUUAAAGAGGUACGUGAGCUGGGUUUAAAACGUCGUGAGACAGUUUGGUCCCUAUCUGCCGUGGGCGUUGGAAGAUUGACGGGGGCUGCUCCUAGUACGAGAGGACCGGAGUGGACGCACCUCUGGUGUACCGGUUGUCACGCCAGUGGCAUUGCCGGGUAGCUAAGUGCGGAAGAGAUAACCGCUGAAAGCAUCUAAGCGGGAAACUUGCCUGAAGAUGAGUCUUCCCGGAGGUUGAACCUCCCUCAAGAGUCGUCCGAGACCAGGACGUCGAUAGGUCAGGUGUGUAAGCGCUGUAAGGCGUUGAGCUAACUGAUACUAAUUGCUCGUGAGGCUUGAUCCU